RNAcentral lists this ribosomal RNA (407 nucleotides) under uncultured bacterium. RNAcentral describes it as "partial 16S ribosomal RNA". It matches the Rfam family "Bacterial small subunit ribosomal RNA", at positions 30 to 526 of the family's 1533-position model. The record is from RNAcentral.
AUUGAACGCUGGCGGCAGGCCUAACACAUGCAAGUCGAGCGGAGCGGCGGACGGGUGAGUAAUGCCUAGGAAUCUGCCUGGUAGUGGGGGAUAACGUCCGGAAACGGGCGCUAAUACCGCAUACUAUCAGAUGAGCCUAGGUCGGAUUAGCUAGUUGGUGGGGUAAAGGCCUACCAAGGCGACGAUCCGUAACUGGUCUGAGAGGAUGAUCAGUCACACUGGGACUGAGACACGGUCCAGACUCCUACGGGAGGGAGCAGUGGGGAAUGUUGGGCAAUGGGCGAAAGCCUGAUCGAGCCAUGCCGCGGGUGUGAAGAAGGUCUUCGGAUUGUAAAGCACUGUAAGUAGGGAGGCGUUACCAACAGAAUAAGCGCCGGCUAACUUCGUGCUAGCAGCCGCGGUAAUAC